UCAAUCUACCAUAGAUGCAAGAAAAAAGAAGGUCCUUGCACUUUCUGUCUGCCUGGUUGUGGCAGCCAAGAUUGAAUGGGGGAAUACAGGA
RNAcentral lists this small nucleolar RNA (91 nucleotides) under Dasypus novemcinctus (nine-banded armadillo). Its description in RNAcentral is "Small nucleolar RNA SNORA31 (ENSDNOG00000036943.1)". The record is from RNAcentral. Lineage: Eukaryota; Metazoa; Chordata; Mammalia; Cingulata; Dasypodidae.